UCAAGCGACUAAGUGUAUGUGGUGGAUGCCUUGGCGAUCACAGGCGAUGAAGGACCCGGCAGCCUGGGAAAAGCCGUGGGGAGCUGGCAAGCAAGCUUUGAUCCACGGAUGUCCGAAUGAGGAAACUCACUUCCUUCGGGAAGUAUCAAUGAGUGAAUACAUAGCUCAUUGAGGCGAACGCAGUGAACUGAAACAUCUAAGUAACUGCAGGAACAGAAAUCAACCGAGAUUCUGAAAGUAGCGGCGAGCGAAAUUGGAAGAGCCUGCAAGCGUUAGCGGAUUCGAUACCGGAACGGUCUGGAAAGGCCGGCUACAGAGGGUGACAGCCCCGUACGGGAAAUUGGAUCUGUGAGACUAGGCUUGCGACAAGUAGGGCGGGACACGAGAAAUCCUGUCUGAAGAUGGGGGGACCAUCCUCCAAGGCUAAAUACUCGUGAUCGACCGAUAGUGAACCAGUACUGUGAAGGAAAGGUAAAAAGAACCCCGGGAGGGGAGUGAAAUAGAUCCUGAAACCGCAUACAUACAAACAGUAGGAGCCCGCAAGGGUGACUGCGUACCUUUUGCAUAAUGGGUCAGCGACUUACGUUCAAUGGCGAGCUUAACCGGAUAGGGGAGGCGCAGCGAAAGCGAGUCCGAACAGGGCGAAAUUCAGUCGUUGGGCGUAGACCCGAAACCAGAUGAUCUAUCCAUGGUCAGGCUGAAGGUGUGGUAACACACACUGGAGGGCCGAACCGACUAGUGUUGCAAAAUUAGCGGAUGAACUGUGGAUAGGGGUGAAAGGCUAAACAAAUCUGGAGAUAGCUGGUUCUCCCCGAAAACUAUUGAGGUAGUGCCUCGUGUAUGGCUCCAGGGGGUAGAGCACUGUUAUGGCUAGGGGGACAUGGCGUCUUACCAAACCAUGGCAAACUCCGAAUACUUGGAAGUCAGAGCACGGGAGACAGAGCACCGGGUGCUAACGUCCGGACUCAAAAGGGAAACAACCCAGACCGCCGGCUAAGGUCCCUAAUAUCGGCUAAGUGGAAAACGAAGUGGGAAGGCUAAGACAGUCAGGAAGUUGGCUUAGAAGCAGCCAUCCUUCAAAGAAAGCGUAAUAGCUCACUGAUCGAGUCUUCCUGCGCGGAAGAUGUAACGGGGCUAAGUCGAUAACCGAAGCCGCGGAUUCAACUGUAAAGGUUGAGUGGUAGGGGAGCGUUCCGUAAGCCUGAGAAGGCGGACCCGCGAGGGCCGCUGGAGGUAUCGGAAGUGCGAAUGCUGACAUGAGUAACGUUAAAGCGGGUGAAAAGCCCGCUCGCCGCAAGCCCAAGGUUUCCUGCUCUACGUUCAUCGGAGCAGGGUGAGUCGGCCCCUAAGGCGAGGCUGAGAAGCAUAGCUGAUGGGAACCAGGUUAAUAAUCCUGGACCGAUUGCAGGUGCGAAGGAGGGACGGAGUGCUGAAGGUCAUCCGGGUGUUGGAUAUCCCGGUUUGCGAGCGUAGGAAGCCGGCAGGCAAAUCCGCCGGCGAAUUUCCGAGGCGAAGCAUCGAGGCUGGUUUCAGCUGAAGUGACUGAAUGGACUUCCAGGAAAAGCUUCUAAGCAUCAGCCUGCAAUUGACCGUACCGCAAACCGACACUGGUGGGCGAGCUGAAUAUGCUCAGGCGCUUGAGAGAACUCAGGAGAAGGAACUCGGCAAAUUGACACCGUAACUUCGGGAUAAGGUGUGCCUUUGUAGUGUGAAGGGAGAAACGCCCCGAGCAUGAAGAGGUCUCAGAGAAUUGGUGGCUGCAACUGUUUACUAAAAACACAGCACUCUGCAAAGACGAAAGUCGACGUAUAGGGUGUGAUGCCUGCCCGGUGCUGGAAGAUUAAUUGAUGGGCUGCAAGGUCCUGAUCGAAGUCCCAGUAAACGGCGGCCGUAACUAUAACGGUCCUAAGGUAGCGAAAUUCCUUGUCGGGU
This 1932-nucleotide ribosomal RNA is filed under the name human gut metagenome. Its description in RNAcentral is "bacterial LSU rRNA". It matches the Rfam family "Bacterial large subunit ribosomal RNA", at positions 3 to 1977 of the family's 2925-position model. The record is from RNAcentral.